RNAcentral lists this ribosomal RNA (500 nucleotides) under uncultured bacterium. RNAcentral's name for it is "partial 16S ribosomal RNA". It matches the Rfam family "Bacterial small subunit ribosomal RNA", at positions 30 to 523 of the family's 1533-position model. The record is from RNAcentral.
AUUGAACGCAGGCGGAAUGCUUUACACAUGCAAGUCGAACGGCAGCACGGACUUCGGUCUGGUGGCGAGUGGCGAACGGGUGAGUAAUGUAUCGGAACGUGCCCAGUCGUGGGGGAUAACGUAGUGAAAAUUACGCUAAUACCGCAUACGAUCUAUGGAUGAAAGUGGGGGAUCGCAAGACCUCGCGCGAUUGGAGCGGCCGAUAUCAGAUUAGGUAGUUGGUGGGGUAAAGGCCCACCAAGCCAACGAUCUGUAGCUGGUCUGAGAGGACGACCAGCCACACUGGAACUGAGACACGGUCCAGACUCCUACGGGAGGCAGCAGUGGGGAAUUUUGGACAAUGGGCGAAAGCCUGAUCCAGCCAUUCCGCGUGCAGGAUGAAGGCCCUCGGGUUGUAAACUGCUUUUGUACAGAACGAAAAGGUUUCUACUAAUACUAGGAGCUCAUGACGGUACUGUAAGAAUAAGCACCGGCUAACUACGUGCCAGCAGCCGCAGUAA